UUUUUACCAAUUUUCAUUCUCCAGUUUCCUACUGGUGAAUGGUAUUACUCUACAUUCAAUCUAUAAAGUUGCUAAUAUUGGAGUCAUUCUAAACUCAUUUCUCUCUUUGCUCCUGAUCUUGAUGGUGUAACUUCCACCCCUCACAGGGACACCUCCUCCUCUGUCUAACUGACUUAAUACAGUCUAACAGCUUCCUACAGACAAUCACCAGCUCUCUCGCUAGAAACCCACUUUCCACCCUAUAUAGCAAGUACCACUUUCUGAAAUCCAGAUAUGAAUGCAUCAUUCACUUGCUUAAAAACCCCUACUGGGGUUCUCUGGUCUGGAGAUCAAGUACAACUUCUUAGUGUG
RNAcentral lists this long non-coding RNA (351 nucleotides) under Bos taurus (domestic cattle). Its description in RNAcentral is "long non-coding RNA NONBTAT026526". The record is from RNAcentral. Lineage: Eukaryota; Metazoa; Chordata; Mammalia; Artiodactyla; Bovidae.